AACGAACGCUGGCGGCAGGCCUAACACAUGCAAGUCGAACGGGACCUUCGGGUCUAGUGGCGGACGGGUGAGUAACGCGUGGGAACGUGCCCUUUGGUUCGGAAUAGCCUCGGGAAACUGGGAGUAAUACCGGAUACGGUCGGAAGACGAAAGAUUUAUCGCCGAAGGAUCGGCCCGCGUUGGAUUAGGUAGUUGGUGGGGUAAAGGCCUACCAAGCCGACGAUCCAUAGCUGGUUUGAGAGGAUGAUCAGCCACACUGGGACUGAGACACGGCCCAGACUCCUACGGGAGGCAGCAGUGGGGAAGUCUUAGACAAUGGGGGAAACCCGUACGAUCUAGCCAUGCCGCGUGAUCGAUGAAGGCCUUAGGGUU
This 372-nucleotide ribosomal RNA is filed under the name uncultured bacterium. RNAcentral's name for it is "bacterial SSU rRNA". It matches the Rfam family "Bacterial small subunit ribosomal RNA", at positions 29 to 424 of the family's 1533-position model. The record is from RNAcentral.